RNAcentral lists this ribosomal RNA (890 nucleotides) under uncultured Corynebacterium sp. RNAcentral's name for it is "bacterial SSU rRNA". It matches the Rfam family "Bacterial small subunit ribosomal RNA", at positions 57 to 954 of the family's 1533-position model. Lineage: Bacteria; Bacillati; Actinomycetota; Actinomycetes; Mycobacteriales; Corynebacteriaceae. The record is from RNAcentral.
GCAGUCGAACGGAGAGGCCUCAGCUUGCUGGGGUACUCGAGUGGCGAACGGGUGAGUAACACGUGGGUGAUCUGCCCUGCACUUUGGGAUAAGCCUGGGAAACUGGGUCUAAUACCGAAUAUGACCACUUCUUGGAUGUUGUGGUGGAAAGCUUUUGCGGUGUGGGAUGAGCCUGCGGCCUAUCAGCUUGUUGGUGGGGUAAUGGCCUACCAAGGCGGCGACGGGUAUCCGGCCUGAGAGGGUGUACGGACACAUUGGGACUGAGAUACGGCCCAGACUCCUACGGGAGGCAGCAGUGGGGAAUAUUGCACAAUGGGCGCAAGCCUGAUGCAGCGACGCCGCGUGGGGGAUGAAGGCCUUCGGGUUGUAAACUCCUUUCGCUAUCGACGAAGCCACUUGUGGUGACGGUAGGUAGAUAAGAAGCACCGGCUAACUACGUGCCAGCAGCCGCGGUAAUACGUAGGGUGCAAGCGUUGUCCGGAAUUACUGGGCGUAAAGAGCUCGUAGGUGGUUUGUCGCGUCGUCUGUGAAAUCCCGGGGCUUAACUUCGGGCGUGCAGGCGAUACGGGCAUAACUUGAGUGCUGUAGGGGAGACUGGAAUUCCUGGUGUAGCGGUGAAAUGCGCAGAUAUCAGGAGGAACACCGAUGGCGAAGGCAGGUCUCUGGGCAGUAACUGACGCUGAGGAGCGAAAGCAUGGGUAGCGAACAGGAUUAGAUACCCUGGUAGUCCAUGCCGUAAACGGUGGGCGCUAGGUGUAGGGGGCUUCCACGUCUUCUGUGCCGUAGCUAACGCAUUAAGCGCCCCGCCUGGGGGAGUACGGCCGCAAGGCUAAAACUCAAAGGAAUUGACGGGGGCCCGCACAAGCGGCGGAGCAUGUGGAUUAAUUCGA